UUGGUCUGCGGGCGCCGGAAGUUGCAGGGACCAGGGUCUCCCACCCCACUCCCUGAAGGGCCCCAGAGCCCGAGGGCGCGCGGGGGACUCAGGAAGAGCGGCUAGUGCAACAGGCCAGUGGGGUUGGGACUACACGUGUUUGCAUCCAAAGUUCAGGCGGGACAGGAGCCUGGUAAGGGGGCUGCGUUCACGCGAGCAGCCCGGCCUCUGACAGAACCCGGGUCCGGCCUUGGCCGACGUCGUGGGGAAAGGGUGGUCAGUCUCAGCCAACACACCCGAGGUACCACGGCCAGAGAUGUCCCUCCCGGAGCUCCGAGGACUCUCGAGCACCAGAUGAGGAGAGAGUGACCACCAGACCCAGAAGGAAAGAAUCCUGUCCUGUAGAAAGACUACCGGGAGACAGAAGCAGGGACCUUCAGUCCAGGGACACAGCCAGCUCAUGGAGACCCCAGGGAGGCGGCCAUGAAAACAAACUACUUUGACUCUUCUCCCUCCCGGAAGUCCCCUGAGGUGCUCUCCCCAAUGGCAAACCAGCAGGAAGCCAAAGGACGUGGGAAUCCAAGGACAGCCUCCUUGGGUGUGGAGGAGGGCAGGGAGAGGUGCUGGGGAUAGGCUGGGGGCAGGACUGUGAAAUCAGGCAAACUGGGCUCCAAUUCUUUUGGACUUCUGUCUGUGAACCUUGGACAAGUUAUUCAAGGCACCAGACAUGUGAGUGAAGUAUCUUGGACCCUUCAGGCCAGCCCAUCUGUUAGUUAAAUGCCAAUGUCACAUGAGAUAGAAGAAUCACUAGAUGAGCCCUGCCUGAAUUCUUGACCAAUAAAUUCCUGAAAUAUAAUAAAAUGAUGCAAUUUGGGAUCUUUUGUUUUGAAAAAGUAGUUAAGCAGGAAACAACACAUCUUACGAGUUUUCCUUCUUUAUCUGACCUCCAAUAGGAUCCACAUCUCCAUUCCCGGUUACUUUGGAGAAAUCUUGAAAAAGAGAGAGAGGGAAGCUUUAUUAUUGCAAAAUCAAUUAGUGUCCUCAGGGUCAGAUGGAAACAAAAAUGUCUGUACGAGCUGGGUAGAGUUGGGAUGAACUGGAAACUUCCAAAUCUCAAGGGAAGGAGAUUUAACGAAGGCAGGAAAAACGGGAGGCCAGAAUCAUUGGCAGCUGUCUUAGAACAGCUAUGACAGGCAGACUCCCAAGUGCAAAACAGUCAGGAACUCCUCUUUAGCAUCAGUCACUCAGGCCUGGUCU
This is a long non-coding RNA of Otolemur garnettii (small-eared galago), 1236 nucleotides long. RefSeq lists it as uncharacterized. Lineage: Eukaryota; Metazoa; Chordata; Mammalia; Primates; Galagidae. The record is from RefSeq and is a predicted model, not a curated record. The transcript is spliced from 3 exons.